Molecule: transfer RNA, 74 nt
Filed under: Streptomyces roseofulvus
Lineage: Bacteria; Bacillati; Actinomycetota; Actinomycetes; Kitasatosporales; Streptomycetaceae
Also listed under: 13 other names
Description: tRNA-Arg
Rfam family: tRNA
About the family: Transfer RNA (tRNA) molecules are approximately 80 nucleotides in length.
Source: RNAcentral
GCCCCCGUAGCUCAGCGGAUAGAGCAGGUGCCUUCUAAGCACUUGGCCGCAGGUUCGAGUCCUGCCGGGGGCGC